This 437-nucleotide ribosomal RNA is filed under the name uncultured Oscillospiraceae bacterium. RNAcentral's name for it is "bacterial SSU rRNA". It matches the Rfam family "Bacterial small subunit ribosomal RNA", at positions 341 to 792 of the family's 1533-position model. Lineage: Bacteria; Bacillati; Bacillota; Clostridia; Eubacteriales; Oscillospiraceae. The record is from RNAcentral.
ACGGAAGGCAGCAGUGGGGAAUAUUGGGCAAUGGGCGAAAGCCUGACCCAGCAACGCCGCGUGAAGGAGGAAGGCCUUCGGGUUGUAAACUUCUUUUACCAGGGACGAAGGACGUGACGGUACCUGGAGAAAAAGCCACGGCUAACUACGUGCCAGCAGCCGCGGUAAUACGUAGGUGGCAAGCGUUGUCCGGAUUUACUGGGUGCAAAGGGCGUGUAGGCGGAACUGUAAGUCAGAUGUGAAAUCCCGGGGCUCAACCCCGGAACUGCAUUUGAAACUGCAGGCCUUGAGUAUCUGAGAGGCAAGCGGAAUUCCUAGUGUAGCGGUGAAAUGCGUAGAUAUUAGGAGGAACACCAGUGGCGAAGGCGGCUUGCUGGACGACAACUGACGCUGAGGCGCGAAAGCGUGGGGAGCAAACAGGAUUAGAUACCCUGGUA